GUGAUGGUCAGGAUGUGGGGAGCUUCUUCCAUAAAGCAGAGUCUGAUGGCUGGAAGAAUCUAGAAUUAUAUCAGAAGAAAGGAAAAAUUAGUGGGAAAUGACUUGACUUUACACUCGGUGGUUUGGAACAUUCCAGAGUCGAGAGAAGUUCUUCUUGUCACACGUGAUUUCAUAAUAAUUACGGCCAGCUGUGCCUGGGCAAUUCAGGUCAAGCCAGAUGCCAAAACCCAACUCAAACACUUACAGGAAGAUCCUCCUCAUGAAGAGCCUCCUAACAUCCUGUAGAAAAUCAGAAAAGGUGGUGCUACACAGGAUGCUGGUGUUCUAGAUUAUAAUUCCUGGCCUCGUCCUCACCACCCCGAGAUGUCAGCCUCAAAUGGGAUAGGAAAUAUUCAACCAUAUUUCCAGCCUUCUUUGCAUCAAGUCUGGGACCUCUGUUACUGAAGAAAUACUGGACUGUAAUCACACAAAAUUAUAAUUUCAAUAGAAAGUCUAUUAAUACAUGUUUAAAUAUAGAACAUCUCUUUGAGACUUAUUUUAAUGAAUAUUCUUCCAGAAGUAUCUGUGUUUUAAGGAAGAUAAGGGGAAAGAAUUCAGAGAGAGGACUUUGAAUGCAAAGAGUUCAGAUCUUGGAGCACCUAAGUUGGAGAACAAGAAUUAAAAGCAAGGAGAGGGCUGGCCCCGUGGCUGAGUGGUUAAGUUCGCGCGCUCUGCUGCAGGCGGCCCAGUGUUUCAUUGGUUCAAAUCCUGGGCGCGGACAUAGCACUGCUCAUCAAACCACGCUGAGGCGGCGUCCCACAUACCACAACUAGAAGAACCCACAACGAAGAAUAUACAACUAUGUACCGGGGGAAUUUGGGGAGGAAAAGGAAAAAAUAAAAUCUUAAAAAAAAA
This 894-nucleotide long non-coding RNA is filed under the name Equus asinus (donkey). RNAcentral describes it as "lncRNA (ENSEASG00005038804.1)". Lineage: Eukaryota; Metazoa; Chordata; Mammalia; Perissodactyla; Equidae. The record is from RNAcentral.